CGCCGACAGCGGGACCGGGAGCCCGCCCCCACGGCUCCGCCUCCGCGCCGCCCAUUGAACUGCCUUCCUGUCACUCAGCUCAGCCUCUACUGUGAUUGGGCAGUUUUCAACAAGCAGCUUGGUGAUAGCCGCCCAUCCUCCGCCCCUGUCACCCGGCCACACGCGCACACAUUCCAGGCAGUGAUUGGUGUGGAUCUGAUUGGCGCCCUCUGGGAUCACUCAACCACGCCUCUUUGCCGUCUUGUCGUCCCAUUGGUGAAAAAGACAGAGGGCGGCAACCCCGCUCGCCCUUUGAUUUUAUUGGUUCGUGCCUGAGACUCAGACCUGAGCCUGGGGGCAACUAUAUUAGUCCAAUCUCUGGGUUGAGAAGGUGGGAUGGACUGGCCACUGCUUGAAUCCCAGGAGAACCUUCUGGAACCCUUGCGACGUCAAAGGCAGCCUUAAAGGAAAACUGUACCCACCAGUUGGCCGUGCGGCCGUGCAUUCUUUCCUUUCUUCAUUGGGGGGCAAGGGGGAGAGAACAGUGCACUCUGGGAGGUGUAGUCCCUGGACCGGGACCAAAAGGAAUGCCACGUUGACCCAUCACCUUGGCAGCAGACGGCCUCCCUCCUGUGAUCAGACUCUGAGCGUCUCACCUGAUACAUGCUUCAUGCUGACACCCAGGCCCAGACUUUGGUCCCACACUGAGUCCCAACUUUGACCUCAGCCUGAGACACAACCUGGUUGUUGUCCUGGUAGACAGUUCCCCAAAUCCAGCCUCUGCCCAAACCUUCCUCCUAGACAUGUCUGAGCCCUAAUUUUGAUACAAAAUACUUGAAUUCAUCUUCAGAUUCAAUUCUAAUCCUAUACUGAACUAACUGAACACUGCCAGGGAUCUGACUCCCUCAUAUUUGCUGGCGUCUCCCUGCGUGUUCUGAACUUACGCUGACCAGCACCAAAAGGGUUCAGAGGGGUGAUUUCUUGCCUUGGGAUGAGAGAGCAAUGUUAGGGAUGACCAGCAGAGGGCGUGCAACAUCAGGCUCUAGAGGCAAGCGUCCAAGAGCCCACCUGUGAACUAAAAAAAUUAAAUUUCACGUCUUUGA
Symphalangus syndactylus (siamang) is the source of this 1082-nucleotide long non-coding RNA. RefSeq lists it as uncharacterized. Lineage: Eukaryota; Metazoa; Chordata; Mammalia; Primates; Hylobatidae. The record is from RefSeq and is a predicted model, not a curated record.